Molecule: ribosomal RNA, 232 nt
Filed under: uncultured bacterium
Lineage: Bacteria
Description: partial 16S ribosomal RNA
Rfam family: Bacterial small subunit ribosomal RNA
Source: RNAcentral
CGGACGGGUGAGUAAUGUAUGGGGAUCUGCCUGAUGGGGGGGGAUAACUACUGGAAACGGUAGCUAAUACCGCAUAAUGUCUACGGACCAAAGCGGGGGACCUCCGGGCCUCGCGCCAUCAGAUGAACCCAUAUGGGAUUAGCUUGUAGGUAAGGUAACGGCUUACCUAGGCGACGAUCCCUAGCUGGUCUGAGAGGAUGAUCAGCCACACUGGGACUGAGACACGGCCCAG